Molecule: long non-coding RNA, 1414 nt
Organism: Carcharodon carcharias (great white shark)
Lineage: Eukaryota; Metazoa; Chordata; Chondrichthyes; Lamniformes; Lamnidae
Exons: 3
Source: RefSeq, a predicted model, not a curated record
CAUGGAGGGAGAGAAACUGCUGAAUAUGACUUAACUUCCUACGCAAAGAGAAGUGCAUGUAACAAUUCGCUUUGUCCUGCUACAUUUUUUUAAUAAAUUAUAUUGGCCUUGUCUACGAAGGCAAAAGUUGAGCAGUUUCUUGGAGGUUCCGCUGAGAUGACUAACCCCUGGGGUUGGGUCACGGAGCGUCAGCGUUAGGACUUCGCGGUUCAAGGACUCCUCAGUCCGCAGCAGCCCGAUUUGGGUUUCUGGGGUUCGUUGACCUGUGAUCUGUCUUCGCCUGCCUGUGGCUGACUCUUAGGCUUGCAUAUACAGGUAGUAGAAGCUCAGAAAAAAGCCCACCAUUGAAGAUUGCCGUCAAUACCAGCCCAGGGACCUAGUCCUGGUAAAGACCUUCAGGAGAAAGAACUGUUUGGAACCUCGAUGGGAGGGGCCUUUCCAAGUCCUGCUCACCACCCAUACGGCCGUGAAGGUUAAAGGACGUCCCUUGUGAAUCUACACAUCGCACGUCAAGCGGACACUGACCUCAGACGGAAGUGCUUGUGCAAGAACUUUAACUGAGCCAUCAGAUUGCUGACUCUGAUUUGGAUCCUGUCCUGCAUGGUCCUUGCGGGGGCAUGGACUACCAAUUCUGCGGUUCAACAAAUGCAGGCCGUAGCCUUGCAAGCUAAUCGGACUAAAUGUUGGAUUUGUACUAAUUUUCCUGUUAACCCCUCCUCCUCAGAGAUGCAUUUUCUGGCUUUCCCCUCAGAUUCCGCAUGGCCUCUAGGUAAUACAGGGGCCCUCAUUCAGCAAACGCCCAUUUGGAGAUGGGAGCCCACCUUUGUGGUUGUUAAGGGGGAGGCCUGGCUAUGCGUCAGAAGAAAUUAUACCAAGGGUAGCACUCGGGUGGGCGAGCUGCCAUUGGGUUCCUGUGCCUACCUUGCUGAUUCAAGCCAGCUAUCUAUACCCUCCCUCUCCUUGAGGAUCAAGACCCCUCUGAGGAUGAAGCCCGGUGGCUAGGAUACAUAGAACUUGGCUAAGGGUGGUGGAUUGUCCUUUUAGGACAAAAGGGGGGAAGUGUGAUGGCCUAGUCAAAAAGAGAACCCACUUAGUACUAAAAGGGUUAAUGGAGAAAUUGAAUUAAAUGCCUAGGCCUAAGAGAAAAAUACUGCAACCUUGAAAAAUAAUACCAUCUUGUUUGACCACUGUUGUAGAAUGAGCCCUGAGACAUUCCAUGUUGUUCUUUCUCAGGCCCAAUGUAAUCAAAGUUGUGAUAACCAAGUGUGUAGGCACCACACCUGUUGUGGUGGGAAUGGAAAUUAACUAAAGCAUGGAUUGGUCAGUUAACGUAUGCAAAUAAGCGGACUGAGAUGUGCAAAAUUUACUGAUUGGUUGUAAAAUGCUUUUAAGCAAGUGUUUGUGUAUUCUGCUU